RNAcentral lists this ribosomal RNA (419 nucleotides) under uncultured Glomus. RNAcentral describes it as "SSU rRNA". It matches the Rfam family "Eukaryotic small subunit ribosomal RNA", at positions 569 to 992 of the family's 1831-position model. Lineage: Eukaryota; Fungi; Glomeromycota; Glomeromycetes; Glomerales; Glomeraceae. The record is from RNAcentral.
AACAGCCGCGGUAAUUCCAGCUCCAAUAGCGUAUAUUAAAGUUGUUGCAGUUAAAAAGCUCGUAGUUGAAUUUCGGGGUUAGUAGGUUGGUCAUGCCUCUGGUAUGUACUGGUCUCACUGAUUCCUCCUUCCUGAUGAACCGUAAUGCCAUUAAUUUGGUGUUGCGGGGAAUUUGGACUGUUACUUUGAAAAAUUAGAGUGUUUAAAGCAGGCUCACGCUUGAAUACAUUAGCAUGGAAUAAUGAAAUAGGACGUUUGACCCUAUUUUGUUGGUUUCUAGGAUCGACGUAAUGAUUAAUAGGAAUAGUUGGGGCAUUAGUAUUCAAUUGUCAGAGGUGAAAUUCUUGGAUUUAUUGAAGACUAACUACUGCGAAAGCAAUUUUGCCAAGGAUGUUUUCAUUAAUCAAGAACGAAAGUUA